Molecule: long non-coding RNA, 732 nt
Filed under: Monodelphis domestica (gray short-tailed opossum)
Lineage: Eukaryota; Metazoa; Chordata; Mammalia; Didelphimorphia; Didelphidae
Description: lncRNA (ENSMODG00000049127.1)
Source: RNAcentral
UAUCCGUGUAUUUGACCAGAUUAUUAAAAUAGGUGACAUCAAUCUAAUUGGAUUGGAUGAAGCAGAAAUCAUCUCUACUUUUAAAAAAAUGGACGAUUCUCCUUUCCAGAUUGAAUUUGGCCGCGAACCACCUGAAGUCAAGUCAGAACUUAUAGUACGCCUCAAGUUGUCAGAGGAAAGGAAGAAAUAUUUUAUGAAUUCACUCAUAGUACAGGAAAAAAUUGGAGAUAUCACUAUUGUGAGAGGACAAGCAAGUAUUUGUACAACUUCAAGAGAACCAUGGUACUGGAUGGCCAGUAACCUGAAAUUUGUUAUUGGGGCACUGAAAAUAUUAAUAGAAGAAGAUCAGGGAUGUAGAAAAGACUUCCAAGCUAUCUUUGAGCAGGCUAACUUUUUUCAAGACAAAUAUAGAGACAUGAACACAUACAAUGUGAAUAUGGAACAGAAACCUGAUGAAUCAGAUAAAGAAGGCACAUUUUUACCAUUGGCCCCAGAAGAAGAAUUAUUACUAGGACAAUUUAAAAUAAAGCCUAAAGAGAUAAAAAAUGAAGAUUUAUCACCAGGGCAAUUAUUAGCCCAAGGGGAUUUCAAUUCAGGUGUGAAAAAUGAGGCACAGAGAAGAUAUUCAGAUAGUUACCUUCCCAGCGGUGACUUCAUGGCUUCUGGCUCUAAAAGCAAUACCAAAGGUAGGUUCUUCACUUUAUAAGAUGUCAAAGCCUUGGUCAGCAAUAG